GCAGAGCUUGGAACAGCACAGGAGCUGGAGCUUUUCAAAGAGGAAGCACAGAGCAGGUAGCAGGAGGCAGUUGUCAUGAUGAACUCUCUUGCACUUUCCUGUAAAGAUUGUACCUCCUGGCAGAGUCUUCUGUUCACAGCCUACCUUUUAACCUGCUGGCUGCUUCCCACUACUACCCAGGUCACCAUCGAAUCAGUGCCAUCCAUUGCUGUUGAAGGGGAAACAGUUCUUCUAUUUGUGCAUAGCCUGCCACCUAAUAUUCUUGCCUUUUACUGGUACAGAGGGGUCAGAGCUCUCAGGACUUUUCAAAUUGCAAGAUAUGUGAUAGCUACCAAGUCUUGUGUGGAGGGACCUUCACACCGUGGUAGAGGAACAGUACUCAGCAAUGGAUCUCUGCUGAUCAAGAGUGUCACCAGACAAGACUCAGGACACUAUACUCUACAAAUAAUCACUACAAAUACAAGACCUGAAAUAAUACGUGCAGAAUUCUUUGUACACAGUCCAACUUUAGGCUACAGGAAGCAUCUUACCCCUUCACAACUCUCAACUGAGUUGGUGCCGCCUAGAGUUACUGAAAAUGACAAUAUUUUUCUACUGGCGUACAAUCUGCCAGAGAAACUUCAAAGCUUUUUCUGGCACAAGGGAGUACAUCCACUUGACCGUUUUAAGAUAGCAAGCCAUUCAUUCCUCACCAAUUCAAGCAUGGUGGGGAAUGCAUAUCAUGACAGAGUGAUAAUAUGCAAUGAUGCAUCCCUGAUGCUCUUGAAUGUCACACAGAGAGACACAGGGCUUUACACCCUACGCACCGUAUCUAUGGAUUUGAAAUCAGAAUGGGCCAUUGUGGACGUCCAAGUAAACAGUAAGUGAUUCUUUGUGAUUCCUAGGUGAUGGUGGGGUUUAUUCUUCUCUGUAUAACUAAGGCAAUGAGGCUUGGACUGUAACUUACUCCCCUCUGGACUGUGUACUCUCACUUGGGUUUGGGAAAUUUAGUACAAGACACACAUCAUGGGGCAAACUGAAAUGAAUCAAAAGCCUUGACCUGACAGGAACCUGCUGGACAGGAGUAAUGAUAACUCAGUCCAAGGAUGUGAUCCUCAGCUCAGAUUCUUUGGGCUCUCACCCAAAACAUGGCCCCGAGAAAGCUUCAUGACAUUGCUUGAAUUUGACUCCCUGCUAGAGCUGACUGGAAGCAGUGUGUCAUUCUGCAUGCAAGUCUUGGAGCAUGUGGAACAACCCAGCAUCUGUCAUGGCAAUCAUGAUUAGGCUAGGUCAUUUGGGUGUCUCCUUUUCCUGAGAUUCAGCAUGGACAUAACAGCUGGGUGGGUUGCCAUGCAAUGUACUGACUGUCCUGAUAGUCCUUAGACUUCACAGGAAAGUUUGUGUCCCCAAGGGAACAUGGGUCCUCUUGGCCAUUGCUUGUUCUCAGGAGUUCACCCUAGGGAAAUUCUCAUCUUUAGUGAAAUAACAACAUGCACUCCUGAAUUUAACAGCUCUUCAGUCUCAAGUUUAGGACAUAGUACUUGAGUUUCACUUAAAGACAAGUAAAUGAUAAGUUCCCCUGUUUACUACUGUGGGGAACCUGAGAGACAGUAGAGACACUGGUUGAAUGAAGGUUACACAGCCCAUGGUUGGUAUAUCAGAAACACAAAAUGACUGUGUAUAGUCAGAGCCCCAACGUAUCUACCCUAGGCAGCCUUAUUAAGUAUUUGUGGGUCAGAUGUGUUCUGUGGGUUCAGAAAUUUUCACCUUAGGGAUCAGUAUCUCACAGGGAGAGUCUGGUCCAGGCAGUGGAAGCAACAAAUUACAGCCAGUUUUGACUUUGUAAUAAAGCCUUAAUUGAAUUCUGGACACACACACCCUCCAGCCUAAUUCUCCUACUACAAUGCUCUUGGUUUCAGAUAAUAGAUUUCCUAGUGUGCUGGGUUCACUUCUCUUGAAGCAUAGGGAGAAGGCAUUGGCUUAUCCCUCCAUCAAGAUCCCGCAAAUCACAGAGUCUAGUGUAGCCUUAAAUAAUAAAAAUAGACAAUCCAUCCCACACUACGCCAGGCACUGGCAGGCCACAAGACACCAGUGAAGUGUUCUCAUCUUGGCAGACUCUCUGACACUUUGCUCUGAAAGCUCUCACCUAACUUGCUAUGUUUCCAUGGCAGGUUGGUGCCAAGCCAGUCCCGUGCAUCAGCUGCCCAUCUUAAGAACGUGGAAGUAUGGCUUCAGACAAUCGAAGACCAGAAAGUGAACUACAGGCCAGGACCUUGAAGAAUCUAAAACAAAAGUUGGACAUGUGCUUUUCUUCUACUGAUACUAUCUAUUACAAAUAAAUAGCUUUCUGCUUA
Molecule: RNA transcript, 2333 nt
Organism: Rattus rattus (black rat)
Lineage: Eukaryota; Metazoa; Chordata; Mammalia; Rodentia; Muridae
Gene name: carcinoembryonic antigen-related cell adhesion molecule 3-like
Exons: 4
Source: RefSeq, a predicted model, not a curated record